CUCAUGCUUGGUAAGCACCUUGCUGCCUCAACAGAUAAUAAAUGCUAAUGCAUUUCCUAUAUCCUUAUAUUUACUGAAAAAAAAAAAAAAGGCAUGGGGGGGGAGAGAAAAAUUCUAAGUGGAUGUAGAAUAAAUAAAUACUAUAGGAUGAAAGAACUUGAGUGAAGUUGCCAUUUAGGGAAAUGUGUGCUUAGCACAGAAACAAGGUAGGUAACCGUUUAAAAAAAGACAGAGAAGUAGAAAAGUCCGUAGCAUGUUUUCUCUUUUCAGAAUUUCCCGAAACUACAGUGUAUUACUUCCGAUUUUCGUGAGGGUUUUGCUUUGCUGUCUGCAAUUACCCUUUGAGUACCAUCACUACAGAUGAAUCUGGCACCCCUGCUCUCUGAAAUAGCCCUGGUGCCUCAUGGAGAUGAAAUUCGCUGCCUUUCAGUUUCCAUUUGGUAACAGGCCCACGCACAUCAAGUCCCGCAGGCCGUUGGUUGCUCGGCCCGUGCACAAGAGUGGCGGAUGAGAGAGGGAAACUCCACAGAAGGAUUCGGAGGCAAGAGCAGCCUGGCCUCAGUGGGAAAGGGCAGAAUACUCCUCAGGGGGAAGUCUUGUCAUGAGCAGCCCUAUGGAGAAUCCGAGCAGUGAGGCCAGCCACCAGGCAAGUGGGCUUGGAUGCAGAUCCUUUGGACCCAGCCAAGCCUGACACCUAGACUGGGACAGACCCUGAACAAGAACACCCAGCUAAGCCACUCCGGAUUCCUGAUACACAGAAACUAUGAGAUAAUAAAAGUUUGCUGUUUGAGAUGGCUA
Long non-coding RNA from Leopardus geoffroyi (Geoffroy's cat), 798 nucleotides. RefSeq lists it as uncharacterized. NCBI's taxonomy places the organism in Eukaryota, Metazoa, Chordata, Mammalia, Carnivora, Felidae. The record is from RefSeq and is a predicted model, not a curated record. The transcript is spliced from 2 exons.